RNAcentral lists this ribosomal RNA (396 nucleotides) under uncultured bacterium. RNAcentral describes it as "bacterial SSU rRNA". It matches the Rfam family "Bacterial small subunit ribosomal RNA", at positions 360 to 773 of the family's 1533-position model. The record is from RNAcentral.
AAUCUUGCGCAAUGGGCGAAAGCCUGACGCAGCCAUGCCGCGUGAAUGAUGAAGGUCUUAGGAUUGUAAAAUUCUUUCACCGGGGAAGAUAAUGACGGUACCCGGAGAAGAAGCCCCGGCUAACUUCGUGCCAGCAGCCGCGGUAAUACGAAGGGGGCUAGCGUUGCUCGGAAUUACUGGGCGUAAAGGGCGCGUAGGCGGACAGUUUAGUCAGAGGUGAAAGCCCAGGGCUCAACCUUGGAAUUGCCUUUAAGACUGCAUCGCUCGAAUCAUGGAGAGGUGAGUGGAAUUCCGAGUGUAGAGGUGAAAUUCGUAGAUAUUCGGAAGAACACCAGUGGCGAAGGCGACUCACUGGACAUGUAUUGACGCUGAGGUGCGAAAGCGUGGGGAGCAAAC